GACGAACGCUGGCGGCGUGGAUUAGGCAUGCAAGUCGAACGGUAUCAUCCUUUCGGGGAUGAGAGAGUGGCGAACGGGUGAGUAACACGUAGGUGAUCUACCCUCAAGACGGGGACAACCCAGGGAAACUUGGGCUAAUACCGGAUGUGAGCAACCUUAGGGUUGUUUGAAAGGUGGCUUCGGCUGCCGCUUGGGGAUGAGCCUGCGUCCUAUUAGCUAGUUGGUGAGGUAACGGCUCACCAAGGCAGUGAUAGGUAGGCGGCCUUAACGGGUGGUCGCCCACACUGGGAUUGAGAUACGGCCCAGACUCCUACGGGAGGCAGCAGUCGAGAAUAGUCUACAAUGGUACGAAAGACUGAUAGUGCGACGCCGCGU
Molecule: ribosomal RNA, 375 nt
Filed under: uncultured bacterium
Lineage: Bacteria
Description: bacterial SSU rRNA
Rfam family: Bacterial small subunit ribosomal RNA
Source: RNAcentral